RNAcentral lists this transfer RNA (73 nucleotides) under Vicugna pacos (alpaca). RNAcentral describes it as "tRNA-Ala (AGC) (tRNA-Ala-AGC-274-1)". It matches the Rfam family "tRNA". From Rfam's summary of the family: Transfer RNA (tRNA) molecules are approximately 80 nucleotides in length. Their secondary structure includes four short double-helical elements and three loops (D, anti-codon, and T loops). The record is from RNAcentral. Lineage: Eukaryota; Metazoa; Chordata; Mammalia; Artiodactyla; Camelidae.
GGAGGGUAUAGCUCAGUGGUAGAGUACAUGCUUAGCAUGCAUGAGGUCCUGGGUUCAAUCCCCAGUACCUCCU